This 725-nucleotide ribosomal RNA is filed under the name uncultured fungus. Its description in RNAcentral is "SSU rRNA". It matches the Rfam family "Eukaryotic small subunit ribosomal RNA", at positions 332 to 1061 of the family's 1831-position model. Lineage: Eukaryota; Fungi. The record is from RNAcentral.
GAUAGAGGCCUACCAUGGUGGUAACGGGUAACGGGGAGUUAGGGCACGACACCGGAGAGGGAGCCUGAGAAACGGCUACCACAUCCAAGGAUGGCAGCAGGCGCGCAAAUUACCCAAUCCCGACACGGGGAGGUAGUGACAAUAAAUAACAAUACGGGGUUCUUUAGGAUCUCGUAAUUGGAAUGAGUACAAUUUAAAUCUCUUAACGAGGAACAAUUGGAGGGCAAGUCUGGUGCCAGCAGCCGCGGUAAUUCCAGCUCCAAUAGCGUAUAUUAAAGUUGUUGCAGUUAAAAAGCUCGUAGUUGAAUUUCGGGGUUAGUAGGUUGGUCAUGCCUCUGGUAUGUACUGGUCUCACUGAUUCCUCCUUCCUUAUGAACCGUAAUGCCAUUAAUUUGGUGUUGCGGGGAAUUUGGACUGUUACUUUGAAAAAAUUAGAGUGUUUAAAGCAAGCUAACGCUUGAAUACAUUAGCAUGGAAUAAUGAAAUAGGACGUUCGAUCUUAUUUUGUUGGUUUCUAGGAUUGACGUAAUGAUUAAUAGGGAUAGUUGGGGGCAUUAGUAUUCAAUUGUCAGAGGUGAAAUUCUUGGAUUUAUUGAGGACUAACUACUGCGAAAGCAUUUGCCAAGGAUGUUUUCAUUAAUCAAGAACGAAAGUUAGGGGAUCGAAGACGAUCAGAUACCGUCGUAGUCUUAACCAUAAACUAUGCCGACUAGGGAUCGGAUGAU